This 25-nucleotide microRNA is filed under the name Gyrodactylus salaris (gyrodactylosis fluke). RNAcentral describes it as "gsa-miR-278-5p". Its record names the gene gsa-miR-278-5p. Lineage: Eukaryota; Metazoa; Platyhelminthes; Monogenea; Gyrodactylidea; Gyrodactylidae. The record is from miRBase by way of RNAcentral.
ACAAGGGUCCUUCAACCGCUAAGUA